AGGUUCAAAGAAUGAGGAAAGGAAAGAUGAUCUCCUCCAAGGCGCGUCCAUCAUGAUUAGACCAGCGUAAAAGUCUCAAGAAACCAUGCAAGAAAAGACAUAGGAAGUCUGCCAUUUCGCCUUGAAGUGACCAAUUAAAGCAGCGCUAGUCGGGCAGAUGGAGGAUAAAAAUGCACCAACACUGUGGUGAUGAAGCAACAACAACAGCAGCAGCUGCAUUUCAAACGCACAAACGACGACGCAAAGUCUGAUUCCGUCAAUUAAGGCGCGGGUUGUGAUUUAAUCCAAAUACAGGCUUUAAUUGCUAAUAUCAAAGCGUAAUUAAGAUGAUAAAUCGUGACUGAUCUUAUUGAAUUAGAAGCUGGCACAGAAGCAACAAAUUGACUGUCAGCUAAAUAAGUGUUUGUAAUUGGCUGACAAGUUUGCUUCCAGUGCUCAUCAAACGCAUUUUACCCUCAGAAACUAUUCCCAAAUAAAAGUUUUUUUAAAAUAGUAACUUAAUAUAAAUAACUUGGAAAUUCCCUUGUUUUUUGGCGCUUUCAGAGAAAGACCCUAAUUGAUUAAUGUGUCAUCAAGCAUAACGUUAGAUUCAUACCAUUAUAAAUGUUCGGGGAAAAUCCACCAAGUCGCAAAAGGACGGCAUGUGGAUGACCAUCCGAGCCAAUGUUGUGAAGCUUGUACGGCUUCUAGUCAACACUCAAGUAGCAGCAUUGUGUCUUGUGUGCAGGUUCUUGUGAUUUCACCACGGAAUGUUGGCAAGAAGAACAAUGUUACGAUGACCCUCCAGGCCAAUGCAGGAAAACUAUCAGAAUCAGAAUCACCUUUAUUUGCCAAAUAUGUCCAAAAAACACACAAGGAAUUUGUCUCCGGUAGUUGGAGCCAACAACAACAACAACUAUGAUCCCUUCUCCAAGUUCUCGUCAGCACUAGAGUUGUUGUUAGAUAGAUGGAUUUUGGAUUGGAGUUCAGAAAGACCCCCCUAAAUUGCUUAAUUUAAAAAGUCAUAAACCAUUAUUUUAGCAUUAUAGGACUUUAAAUAUUGGAGGGAAAUACACAAAGAUAGACAAUGAUCUCUUCUCAUAGUUGUAGUCAGCACUCAAGUAGCAGCAUUCUGGAUGCUAGGUGGAUGGCUUCUUUUUGAAGCAAAGACAACAUUCUCACACAAAUGAAAGUCAAGUUUGCUUCCAGCGCUCAUCAAAUGCAUUUUACCCCAUACAAGCUAUUCCCAAAAUAAAGUUUGAAAUUAAAUAUGAUUCCACAGGACUAACUUGGAAAUUCCCUUUUUCGGACUUUGAGAAAGAACCUCCUUAGUUAACGUGUCAAAAUGUAUUAUGUUAGACUCAUGCCAUUCUAAAUAUCAGG
Phycodurus eques (leafy seadragon) is the source of this 1362-nucleotide long non-coding RNA. RefSeq lists it as uncharacterized. The transcript is spliced from 3 exons. The record is from RefSeq and is a predicted model, not a curated record. NCBI's taxonomy places the organism in Eukaryota, Metazoa, Chordata, Actinopteri, Syngnathiformes, Syngnathidae.